RNAcentral lists this unclassified non-coding RNA (659 nucleotides) under Hevea brasiliensis (rubber tree). Lineage: Eukaryota; Viridiplantae; Streptophyta; Magnoliopsida; Malpighiales; Euphorbiaceae. The record is from RNAcentral.
UUUUUUUUUUUUUUUGUCAUUUUUUAUAUAUAUAUUUCAAAUAAGUGUCCUAUUUGUCAUGUUGCUUUUACCUGUGAUUGGCGUCAAAACUUCUUCCAUAUCUUUGAACAGUCUUAAUUUUCUGUGACAUGAUUCUUGCCUUGUGAGUCACUUUAGUCCAUUUUUGUUUCUGGGUUUAGGUUUAAAUUGCUAACUAUUUGCAUCUAUCAUUUUGGGUUAAUAAGUUUAUUAAUUUUCUGAACAGUGAGUUUAUUCCACUUCAAUUCUGAAUUUUGACAUAAUUUCGGUGUUUAAAUUAAUCUGUUCUAUAAUUUCUUCCUGAAGGGCCUCUUCAUUUUUCUUCAGAGUGAGUUAGGCUUGUUUUGUUGAGGUGGAAUCAUCAACCUAGGUGUCUAUUGUUUAAAGUGAUGUUUUUUCUUUCAGCCAACUCAAGGAAUGUUAAAUAUCUUUAAGGAAAAGUGAGAACUCCAUUGAGUUGAGAGAAUCCUGAAAGUGAUGUACUUUCUUAGCAUGUUGCACACACAUGUUAUAUGUUCUUGUUUGAAAAGAGAGAAAUGUGGAAUUUAUUCCUGUAUCAAUUUUAUGAUCACUUGAAGCAGGGAUGAUUAUGUUGAAAAUGAUAAUAUUGUUGCAAGACAAAGUAAAUAGACCUUGUUUUG